AAAAUCUUUCUUUAAUUGAAUAAUUGAAUUUAAUUUUUUAGUGCAAAAGCAAAAAUAAAAAUUAGGGACAAGAAGACCCUAUGAAUUUUUUAUUAAAUUUUAUAAAACUUUAUAUAAAAUUUAAUUUAAUUGGGGUGAUGGAAAAAGAAUAAAUAUCUUUUUUUUUAAAAAAAAUUGGUUCCGUUUUUAGCGAUUAAAUGAAAAAAAUACUCUAGGGAUAACAGCGUAAUAAUUUUGGAUAGUUCAUAUAGAUAAAAUAGUUUGCGACCUCGAUGU
This 276-nucleotide ribosomal RNA is filed under the name Ixodes ricinus (castor bean tick). Its description in RNAcentral is "partial large subunit ribosomal RNA". Lineage: Eukaryota; Metazoa; Arthropoda; Arachnida; Ixodida; Ixodidae. The record is from RNAcentral.